CAUCCAGAGGUGUAAACCACUUCAUUAGAAGCAUCCAGUGGGAUGAAUUAGAGGAGCUCCUGUGCUAAGUCAUCUUUUAUCUUUUUAAUCCUGAGAGAGCAAACCUUGCCCUUUGUACAGACAGCAUGUUUGGACUUGGCUUGGGAAGAAUGAGAGUUGCAGUCUCUAGCACACAGUGCAGAUAGCAGCUCCAAACAAUGUUACGUGCCUGAUUUUAAACAUCCCUACAGCAAGGCUGUGUUUGGACACCACUUACUACCAGCAGAAACAUUUUUCAGCCAUAUGAUGGGAAGCAGAAGAAUCCCCUUUAGCAGGGGAAGAUGCUGAGCCCAUACCCCGAGGUGUUCAAGGCACUCUGGGUAAGUCCAGCACCCCUGAGUACUCCAGCCAUUACAUAAGCAUUUAAUCUAGUGACAGUCUAAUUAAUUACAGACCUUGAAAUGUAGAUCAAAAGAAGAUCCU
RNAcentral lists this long non-coding RNA (462 nucleotides) under Cyanistes caeruleus (blue tit). RNAcentral describes it as "lncRNA (ENSCCEG00000015982.1)". The record is from RNAcentral. Lineage: Eukaryota; Metazoa; Chordata; Aves; Passeriformes; Paridae.